RNAcentral lists this ribosomal RNA (218 nucleotides) under uncultured prokaryote. RNAcentral describes it as "partial 16S ribosomal RNA". It matches the Rfam family "Bacterial small subunit ribosomal RNA", at positions 524 to 741 of the family's 1533-position model. The record is from RNAcentral.
UACGUAGGGACCAAGCGUUGUUCGGAUUUACUGGGCGUAAAGGGCGCGUAGGCGGCUUAACAAGUCACUUGUGAAAUCUCCGGGCUUAACUCGGAACGGCCAAGUGAAACUGUCAAGCUAGAGUGCAGAAGGGGCAAUCGGAAUUCUUGGUGUAGCGGUGAAAUGCGUAGAUAUCGGGAGGAACAUCAGUGGCGAAGGCGACUUUCUGGAUCAAUACU